Molecule: long non-coding RNA, 256 nt
Filed under: Homo sapiens (human)
Lineage: Eukaryota; Metazoa; Chordata; Mammalia; Primates; Hominidae
Description: HSALNT0095679
Source: RNAcentral
UACUGUUCAGAAUGUAACAUGAUUAUUUUGAAAUAAAGAUUUUCCCCUAGUUUUUAAAAAAGUUACUUUAUACAUUAACCCUUAUGUUCCUCUUUGAUCAAUUUUUCCAGUAGUGUAAACAGUCUUCAGGGAAGUAGAUUUCUUACAGAAAUUGUCAAGUGGCUCUCUGCUGUUAGCAUGGUUACUAAUCUUUUGGUUACUUUUCAUAUUUUUUAUACUUUCUGGAAGUGGACAACUUACUUGUAAAUAAAAGUGC